UUUCCUACUGUAAACAUGGAUUUUAAAAAUUUUCUAUUCUUUCCUCAUAUUUUAUUGACAAUCCUAAUAAUUUGCUUUGCUUUAAGCCUUAAUACCGAAGCUCGGGCAACUUUACCCACGUCUUUAGAACAGCAAGAACCAGAACAUUUUGAAAACAAAAUAUCAAUGUCAUUAUUUAUUCAACCAAGACGCUUAAACGAUUGUGGAUAUAAACAUAAUGGCAAACCGAUUGAGUGCUAGAUUUAAGUAAUAGUUCGUAGUAAGGCAGACAUCGGUGAAAUUAAAAUUAAUUGAAUUUACUGUGAUUAAUAUUUCUGUAUAAUAAUUCUAAUCAAAAUUAGCUUUUUUUAUAAAUGUUAAGUGAUAAUAUAUUGCGAUUCAAUUUUUAGAAUGGUUUGUAAUAUAUAUACAUAGUAUAUAACAGAGCUGUAAAAGAAUGAUUAAUUUUAUAAUGAAUCUUAGAAUUAUUUAUGCAAUUAAAUAUGAAUGAAAUUAAAAUUUUAAUGAAUUCUUGUAUGCAUUAAUUUUGAAUGAAUUGAAUAAAAAAUUAAUUGAAUUUCAUAAAACGAUAUUUGAUAGCUUUAAUAUUUAAGUUAGGCAGAAAGAAGUUGUGGUAACCGCUAAAAUACCAUUACGACUAGAAAUUUAGACUAGAUAUCAAUCUAUAUUUCACCUGAGCUGUCCUACUUCCUUCCACUUGGUAAGAAUCCAGCGUCCAAAUAGUUUAAUAAAAUAAUUUGAAAUUUCCUAA
Calliphora vicina (urban bluebottle blowfly) is the source of this 751-nucleotide long non-coding RNA. RefSeq lists it as uncharacterized. The record is from RefSeq and is a predicted model, not a curated record. Lineage: Eukaryota; Metazoa; Arthropoda; Insecta; Diptera; Calliphoridae. The transcript has 2 exons.